UUAUAUGGAGAGUUUGAUCCUGGCUCAGGACGAACGCUGGCGGCGUGCCUAAUACAUGCAAGUCGAGCGGACGGAUGGGAGCUUGCUCCCUGAAGUCAGCGGCGGACGGGUGAGUAACACGUGGGCAACCUGCCUGUAAGACUGGGAUAACUCCGGGAAACCGGGGCUAAUACCGGAUAACUCUUUUCCUCACAUGAGGAAAAGCUGAAAGAUGGUUUCGGCUAUCACUUACAGAUGGGCCCGCGGCGCAUUAGCUAGUUGGUGAGGUAAC
This 271-nucleotide ribosomal RNA is filed under the name Cytobacillus firmus. RNAcentral's name for it is "partial 16S ribosomal RNA". It matches the Rfam family "Bacterial small subunit ribosomal RNA", at positions 1 to 261 of the family's 1533-position model. Lineage: Bacteria; Bacillati; Bacillota; Bacilli; Caryophanales; Bacillaceae. The record is from RNAcentral.